This 74-nucleotide transfer RNA is filed under the name Danio rerio (zebrafish). RNAcentral describes it as "tRNA-Ile (AAT) (tRNA-Ile-AAT-30-1)". It matches the Rfam family "tRNA". From Rfam's summary of the family: Transfer RNA (tRNA) molecules are approximately 80 nucleotides in length. Their secondary structure includes four short double-helical elements and three loops (D, anti-codon, and T loops). The record is from Rfam by way of RNAcentral. Lineage: Eukaryota; Metazoa; Chordata; Actinopteri; Cypriniformes; Danionidae.
GGCCGGUUAGCUCAGCUGGUUAGAGCGUGGUGCUAAUAACGUCAAGGUCGCGGGUUCGAUCCCCGUACUGGCCA